This 506-nucleotide ribosomal RNA is filed under the name uncultured bacterium. RNAcentral describes it as "partial 16S ribosomal RNA". It matches the Rfam family "Bacterial small subunit ribosomal RNA", at positions 29 to 523 of the family's 1533-position model. The record is from RNAcentral.
AGUGAACGCUGGCGGUAGGCCUAACACAUGCAAGUCGAACGGCAGCACAGGAGAGCUUGCUCUCUGGGUGGCGAGUGGCGGACGGGUGAGGAAUACAUCGGAAUCUACUUUUUCGUGGGGGAUAACGUAGGGAAACUUACGCUAAUACCGCAUACGACCUACGGGUGAAAGCAGGGGACCUUCGGGCCUUGCGCGAUUGAAUUAGCCGAUGUCGGAUUAGCUAGUUGGCGGGGUAAAGGCCCAACAAGGCGACGAUCCGUAGCUGGUCUGAGAGGAUGAUCAGCCACACUGGAACUGAGACACGGUCCAGACUCCUACGGGAGGCAGCAGUGGGGAAUAUUGGACAAUGGGCGCAAGCCUGAUCCAGCCAUACCGCGUGGGUGAAGAAGGCCUUCGGGUUGUAAAGCCCUUUUGUUGGGAAAGAAAUCCAGCUGGCUAAUACCCGGUUGGGAUGACGGUACCCAAAGAAUAAGCACCGGCUAACUUCGUGCCAGCAGCCGCCGUAA